CCUACGGGAGGCUGCAGUCGAGAAUCUUCCGCAAUGGACGAAAGUCUGACGGAGCGACGCCGCGUGAAGGAUGAAGUACUUCGGUAUGUAAACUUCUUUUGGGAGGGAGAAAGUCAUUGAUAGUACCUCCAGAAUAAGGAGUUGCUAAACUCGUGCCAGCAGCAGCGGUAAUACGAGUGCUCCAAGCGUUAUCCGGAAUCAUUGGGCGUAAAGGGUGUGUAGGUGGUCGUAUUAGUCUUUUGUAAAAACCUCCGGCUUAACCGGAGAUCUGCAGGGGAAACGGUAUGACUUGAGGAUGCGAGAGGUAUGCGGAACUCAUAGUGUAGGGGUGAAAUCCGUUGAUAUUAUGGGGAACACCAAAAGCGAAGGCAGCAUACUGGCGCACUCCUGACACUGAAACACGAAAGCGUGGGUAGCGAAUGGGAUUAGAUACCCUAGUAGUC
RNAcentral lists this ribosomal RNA (443 nucleotides) under uncultured bacterium. RNAcentral's name for it is "bacterial SSU rRNA". It matches the Rfam family "Bacterial small subunit ribosomal RNA", at positions 338 to 795 of the family's 1533-position model. The record is from RNAcentral.